This 257-nucleotide ribosomal RNA is filed under the name uncultured bacterium. RNAcentral's name for it is "partial 16S ribosomal RNA". It matches the Rfam family "Bacterial small subunit ribosomal RNA", at positions 57 to 305 of the family's 1533-position model. The record is from RNAcentral.
GCAAGUCGAGGGGUAACAGAUGAAGAGCUUGCUCAGAUUGCUGACGAACGGCGCACGGGAGAGUAACACGUAUGCAACCUACCUUUUACAUAGGGAUAGACCAGAGAAAUAUGGAUUAAUACCUCAUAAUAUUUUUAACUCGCAUGAGUUUUAAAUUAAAACUUCGGUGGUAAAAGAUGGGCAUGCGUUCUAUUAGUUUGUUGGUGAGGUAACGGCUUACCAAGACUACGAUAGAUAGGGGUUCUGAGAGGAUAAUC